CGUGUGUGUGCCGCUGGGUCCAGGGCCUUCCCUCGCCGCUCGUCUUACCGGAGGCCUUGCCGACAUGAGCGGCAGAGAAGGAUCAGGAGGGUUCAGGAAAAGGAAGCAUGACAAUUUUCCACAUAACCAAAGAAGAGAAGGGAGGGAUGUUAAUUCAUCUUCACCCGUGAUGCUGGCCUUCAAAUCAUUUCAGCAGGAGCUUGAUGCAAGGCAUGACAAAUAUGAGAGACUUGUGAAACUUAGUCGGGAUAUAACUGUUGAAAGUAAAAGGGCUAUUUUUCUACUCCAUAGGAUUACGAGUGCUCCUGAUAUGGAAGAAAUACUGAAUGAAUCAGAAAUUAAACUGGAUGGUGUCCGACAGAAGAUACUGCAGGUAGCACAGGAGCCGUCAGGAGAAGACAUGCACCAAUUCCAUAGAGCCAUUACUACAGGACUGCAAGAAUAUGUGGAAGCUGUCUCUUUUCAGUACUUCAUCAAAACACGAUCAUUAAUCAGUAUGGAUGAAAUUAAUAAGCAAUUGAUAUUUACAACUGAAGACAACGGGAAAGAAAAUAAGAUUCCCUCUUCUGAUGCACAGGAUAAACAGUUUGGCACUUGGAGCCUGAAAAUCACACCUGUGGAUUACCUUCUAGGAGUGGCUGAUUUAACUGGAGAAUUGAUGCGGAUGUGUAUUAACAGUGUGGGGAAUGGGGACAUUGACACCCCCUUUGAAGUGAGCCAGUUUUUACGGCAGGUUUAUGAUGGAUUUUCAUUCAUUGGCAACACUGGACCAUAUGAGGUUUCUAAAAAGCUGUAUACCUUGAAACAGAGUCUGGCCAAAGUGGAGAAUGCUUGUUAUGCUUUGAAAGUCAGAGGUUCAGAAAUUCCAAAGCAUAUGCUGGCAGAUGUGUUUUCAGUAAAAACAGAAAUGAUUGAUCAAGAAGAGGGCAUUUCUUAGAAUUACAUUACUGGGUUAUUCUUCUGAGAACUCCUAAGAGAGACCAAUUUAUAAGACUGUUGUUUAGUAUUUCAUUUGACUUUAUGUGGCUUUUCCAUAGAACCAUUUUCAGUUGUACUUGUUUUAAAUUGUAUACAAGCUGUACAUAAAAUUAUCCAAGUGAAUCAUUUCUUGUAUCUUAUUCAUGAAAGUUUGCAUACAAAUAUUUGCCUACUUACCUAUUUGAAUAUUUGCUGGUUAACCUUCAUCAUUUAUCUUUGUAAUAUGAACAUACUGCAUAUUUCAGAGUGCAAUUUCUACCAUAUCUAUUAAUUUCCUUUUGUGAAUUUUGGAGUGGUAAUUUUUAGUGGAAGCCACUUAUAAUUUAAGUUGAUGAUUUUAUUAUAUAGAGAAAAGAUUUUUUAGUUACAUUUCUGGACUUUUGCUUCCAGUUUAAAUUUCUUGUUACUGUUGUGCCAAGCUUCCAAAAUAGGCUUAUUCUAUGGAAUAAGAAUUAAGAAUUAACAAGCUGUCAGUGUACUUCAAGUGUAAGUUUAUGAGGUAUGAUAGUGAAAAUUCAUGUUAUAUUUUGGCCAAUUUUAGGUCAUUUUAAAUUUAUAUGAAACAACCUUCCAGAAAAAUUGACAGAUACCCUGAUGUUAUUUUCUUCUCCUUUUUUUUGUCCUUUGUCAUAGAAGUUCUUAAAGAGAAUCAGAGCUAACACUAAUAUUUUCACUGGUAAUAUUGAACUGAAUUAUAUACUUAUAUUUAACAACUGAAAAGCUUUUAGUAGUGAUUAUUUAGCAAUUUUUUUGUUGUUGUUGGCUGUUCUUAGGCAUGUUUAGAGGCUUUCCUAUUCUAGCAUCUAUCACAAAUUACAUUUAAACGGUGAAGUUUUGAAGUACUAAGUUAAUACAGAUCUUUUAGGUGUCCCAUUGUGGUAAUUAAUAAAUGAAAGUUGCCAAAGAAAAAUUAUAAUGUACAAUUCAGCAAUAAGAUAAUUGUCAACACAAUUGAGAAUAACAUGGUAGUUUCUAGUAAUAUUUAGAAUUGGAAUUUGACUAAUGAAAUUAGCUGUAGAUUAUUAUUUUGAUGUGAAACUGAUGUGGGUAUAACACCAUUGGCUGACAACCAGACUUUCCAAUUGGUUUUGUGAGUUUUGAGAAUCUGGAUACUAGAUAUCAUUUUUGGAAAGAUUUUGGAAAUCUUUUGGAAAGAUUUCAUUUUGUAGAGGCUGAUUCUUUGAAAGUGUAAUUUUCCAAAAAAUACCACCUAAAGGAAAAUAAACAUA
This is an RNA transcript of Otolemur garnettii (small-eared galago), 2207 nucleotides long. It is a transcript of the gene named translin-associated protein X pseudogene, with no coding region annotated. The record is from RefSeq and is a predicted model, not a curated record. NCBI's taxonomy places the organism in Eukaryota, Metazoa, Chordata, Mammalia, Primates, Galagidae. The transcript has a single exon.